RNAcentral lists this ribosomal RNA (274 nucleotides) under uncultured bacterium. Its description in RNAcentral is "partial 16S ribosomal RNA". It matches the Rfam family "Bacterial small subunit ribosomal RNA", at positions 523 to 796 of the family's 1533-position model. The record is from RNAcentral.
AUACGGAGGGAACAAGCGUUAUUCGGAAUCACUGGGCGUAAAGGACGCGUAGGCGGGUUAUUAAGUCGGGUGUGAAAUCCAAUGGCUCAACCAUUGAACUGCAUUCGAAACUGAUAACCUAGAGUAUGGAAGGGGCAGGUGGAAUUAGUGGUGUAGGGGUAAAAUCCGUAGAUAUCACUAGGAAUACCGAAAGCGAAGGCGACCUGCUGGGACAUUACUGACGCUGAGGCGUGAAAGCGUGGGGAGCAAACAGGAUUAGAAACCCUAGUAGUCC